AUGGAUGAUACAAUGUCUCAGCAGCUACCGAAAGAUGGCAGGUCUACGAAAAUCGUGUACAUGGAGCAUCAAAGAUGGCUCGAGAAGGAUGACCCGUGGAGAAAGCAUGGAGAUCUAUUCAAUGGUGAGGCUGAGCAUCGAGGUUGUCGGUGUCAAAACCGACCUCGGGUAGGGGGGCGAGCUGUGAGAUCGGAUCGAUGGGUAACAAGAGAUAGAAGACACGGUUUUUUUACCCAGGUUCGGGCCCUCUUUGAGGAGGUAAAACCCUACGUAUUGCUCUUGCUCAUAUUAUGGGUGUAUCAAAGUACAAAGUUGAUAUACCUCGAGAUCGUGAGUUGUGGUCUAAACCCUAGGGGUAUGAUGAUAAAUGUAUGA
This 375-nucleotide ribosomal RNA is filed under the name Triticum aestivum (bread wheat). RNAcentral describes it as "partial small subunit ribosomal RNA". The record is from RNAcentral. Lineage: Eukaryota; Viridiplantae; Streptophyta; Magnoliopsida; Poales; Poaceae.